GAUGAACGCUGGCGGCGUGCCUAAUACAUGCAAGUCGAGCGAAUGGAUUAAGAGCUUGCUCUUAUGAAGUUAGCGGCGGACGGGUGAGUAACACGUGGGUAACCUGCCCAUAAGACUGGGAUAACUCCGGGAAACCGGGGCUAAUACCGGAUAACAUUUUGAACCGCAUGGUUCGAAAUUGAAAGGCGGCUUCGGCUGUCACUUAUGGGUGGACCCGCGUCGCAUUAGCUAGUUGGUGAGGUAACGGCUCACCAAGGCAACGAUGCGUAGCCGAGCUGAGAGGGGGAUCGGCCACACUGGGACUGGGACACGGCCCAGACUCCUACGGGAGGCAGCAGUAGGGAAUCUUCCGCAAUGGAGGAAAGUCUGACGGAGCAACGCCGCGUGAGUGAUGAAGGCUUUCGGGUCGUAAAACUCUGUUGUUAGGGAAGAACAAGUGCUAGUUGAAUAAGCUGGCACCUUGACGGUACCUAACCAGAAAGCCACGGCUAACUACGUGCCAGCCGCCGCCGUAA
This 515-nucleotide ribosomal RNA is filed under the name uncultured bacterium. Its description in RNAcentral is "partial 16S ribosomal RNA". It matches the Rfam family "Bacterial small subunit ribosomal RNA", at positions 28 to 523 of the family's 1533-position model. The record is from RNAcentral.